CAUUAUAUAUAUAUCAAAUCUUUUUUUCCUACCGAGCCCCGGAAGGGACAUGUCCGUAUGGCGAAGCGACAAUGAAGGGCACUCACCCGGACGAGAAUUUUAUUGAGUUUUAUUUUAAAAUCGGCCUGAAACACACAGACAUUCAAGCAGUGCGAUGCGCUAAGAGUCUGCCAUGCAGACCAGCGAUCCUGAUAAUGUUGUCGGCCUUGGAUGAUGAGGUCCAGUUACCAGGAGCACUAGUCUGCAGCUUACUGGUUCCGUCUUGCAGCUCCUCCACGCUGCCCUCCUCUCUACAGACCAAAUCAAGAAAAGGGAACCAGGAAGCUGCUGUGGAUCCUCUGCAGUAUCUGGAGAGGUCAGAGGAACGGUUCUUGGAACAGAUCAGAAGACACCAAGACGUGACCUCUGCCAUGCUCCAGAACAUCCAGAAGAUGAAUGAAAACCUUGGUUGCACUGAUGGGACGCAUGGUGUCGGUGCUGGAGCAACUGUCCCAGAAUUAAACUGCAUUGUUGACUAUUGGCUUUUCUAGAAAAUAAAUCUUUUUUAGUACUUCA
Long non-coding RNA from Acanthochromis polyacanthus (spiny chromis), 555 nucleotides. RefSeq lists it as uncharacterized. The transcript is spliced from 3 exons. Lineage: Eukaryota; Metazoa; Chordata; Actinopteri; Pomacentridae. The record is from RefSeq and is a predicted model, not a curated record.